RNAcentral lists this ribosomal RNA (509 nucleotides) under Candida albicans. RNAcentral describes it as "eukaryotic LSU rRNA". The stretch from base 142 to 295 matches the Rfam family "5.8S ribosomal RNA". Lineage: Eukaryota; Fungi; Ascomycota; Pichiomycetes; Serinales; Debaryomycetaceae. The record is from RNAcentral.
AAAACUGACUGCUUAUUGCACCACAUGUGUUUUUCUUUGAAACAAACUUGCUUUGGCGGUGGGCCCAGCCUGCCGCCAGAGGUCUAAACUUACAACCAAUUUUUUAUCAACUUGUCACACCAGAUUAUUACUAAUAGUCAAAACUUUCAACAACGGAUCUCUUGGUUCUCGCAUCGAUGAAGAACGCAGCGAAAUGCGAUACGUAAUAUGAAUUGCAGAUAUUCGUGAAUCAUCGAAUCUUUGAACGCACAUUGCGCCCUCUGGUAUUCCGGAGGGCAUGCCUGUUUGAGCGUCGUUUCUCCCUCAAACCGCUGGGUUUGGUGUUGAGCAAUACGACUUGGGUUUGCUUGAAAGACGGUAGUGGUAAGGCGGGAUCGCUUUGACAAUGGCUUAGGUCUAACCAAAAACAUUGCUUGCGGCGGUAACGUCCACCACGUAUAUCUUCAAACUUUGACCUCAAAUCAGGUAGGACUACCCGCUGAACUUAAGCAUAUCAAAAGACGGAGGAA